AAAAAGGGCAAACUCUGGAUUUCUGUAUCCAACUUUGACUGUUCGUCUUAUAUAAAUUUUUUUUAUAAUUCGUAUUUUCAUUGUUGUUAGAUAAAACAUGAUUAAUAUUUUAUGCGUGACUUGUCUUUUUAAUUUUUUUUCUAAUUUUUUCAAAUAAGACGGACGGUUAAACGUUGGACAUGGAAACCAGGGUUUGUCUUUUU
This is a non-coding RNA of Oryza glumipatula, 203 nucleotides long. NCBI's taxonomy places the organism in Eukaryota, Viridiplantae, Streptophyta, Magnoliopsida, Poales, Poaceae. The record is from Rfam.